AUGGUUGCAAUGGAUAACGAUCAUCCCACAAACAUCAUGACCGACCAGGACAAAGCGAUGGCAACAACUAUUGAUGAUGUGUUGCCAAACACCUGCCAUAGGUGUUGCAAGUUUCAUGUGUUUAGCAAUGCACGUACCAAGUGGGGGAGGCUGUUGAGAAGAGAUGAAUCGUUUGCAGAUGUGUUCUACACUUGUAUCAAUCAAUCAGAAACCAUUGAGGAGUUUGAGGAAACAUGGCAACACAUGUUGCAUUGUUUUGAAGUGGCCGAGAACAAACACCUGAAGAACAUGUGGCGAACAAGGCACAUGUGGGCUCGAGCGUACUUCAAGAACAAAUUCUUCCCAUUCACAAGCACAACGGGCAGGUCUGAGGAGAUUAACUCAUAUUUCAAGACACUGAUUCGUCCGGCUGAUUCCGUUUGGAGGUUUGUCCAGCAAUACGAAAUGUGCCAAGAAACUAUGCUUGAUCGUGAAGACAAUGCUGGAUUCACUGGUGAAACAACAACUCCGCCACUAUACUCUCGGUACAACAUUGAGCGCCAAGCUGCUGCUUACUACACUCGUAGCGUCUUUGGCAAGUUCCAGAAGCAGGUGAUCGCAUCUACCGGCUUCGUUAUCAACCAAGACGCUGAGUAUUAA
RNAcentral lists this ribosomal RNA (639 nucleotides) under Triticum aestivum (bread wheat). RNAcentral's name for it is "partial small subunit ribosomal RNA". The record is from RNAcentral. Lineage: Eukaryota; Viridiplantae; Streptophyta; Magnoliopsida; Poales; Poaceae.